Molecule: ribosomal RNA, 432 nt
Filed under: uncultured bacterium
Lineage: Bacteria
Description: partial 16S ribosomal RNA
Rfam family: Bacterial small subunit ribosomal RNA
Source: RNAcentral
AACGAACGCUGGCGGCAUGCCUAACACAUGCAAGUCGAACGAGACCUUCGGGUCUAGUGGCGCACGGGUGCGUAACGCGUGGGAACCUGCCCUUAGGUUCGGAAUAACUCCCCGAAAGGGGUGCUAAUACCGGCUAAUGUCUUCGGACCAAAGAUUUAUCGCCUUUGGAUGGGCCCGCGGUGUAUUAGCUAGUUGGUAGGGUAAAAGCCUACCAAGGCGACGAUCCAUAGCUGGCAUGAGAGGAUGCUCAGCAACACUGGGACUGGGACACGGCCCAGACUCCUGAGGGAGGCAGCAGUGGGGAAUAAUGGACAAUGGGCGAAAGCCUGAUGCAGCAAGGCCGCGAGAGUGAUGAAGGCGUUAGGGUGGUAAAGCUCUUUUACCCGGGAUGAUAAUGACAGUACCGGGAGAAUAAGCCCCGGCUAACUCCGU